Molecule: ribosomal RNA, 253 nt
Filed under: uncultured bacterium
Lineage: Bacteria
Description: partial 16S ribosomal RNA
Rfam family: Bacterial small subunit ribosomal RNA
Source: RNAcentral
UACGAAGGGGGCUAGCGUUGUUCGGAGUUACUGGGCGUAAAGGGCGCGUAGGCGGCGCACCAAGUCAGGCGUGAAAGCCCUGGGCUCAACCCGGGAAUUGCGCUUGAGACUGGUGUGCUCGAGUUCGGGAGAGGUGAGUGGAACUGCGAGUGUAGAGGUGAAAUUCGUAGAUAUUCGCAAGAACACCAGUGGCGAAGGCGGCUCACUGGCCCGAUACUGACGCUGAGGCACGAAAGCGUGGGGAGCAAACAGG